This 1735-nucleotide unclassified non-coding RNA is filed under the name Cimex lectularius (bed bug). RNAcentral's name for it is "glycerol-3-phosphate dehydrogenase [NAD(+)], cytoplasmic, transcript variant X2". The record is from RNAcentral. Lineage: Eukaryota; Metazoa; Arthropoda; Insecta; Hemiptera; Cimicidae.
UAAAUCUUAUUUAUUUUGUUUAGAAAAGAAUGAAUCCACAUUAUAUUAUUUUAGAAGGGUUUGUAAUAAAAGAGAAGGUUUUAAAGUAGAGAAUGCUAGUAGUAUUUGAAUCAUGGUAGUGAUGGAGGCGGGAAUGGGCUUUUGCUUAUCAACAUGUGGACUUUACUCCCUCCCACCAACACACCAAACGUCCCUGAUAACUCCCAAGAGUCAGAACUCAGAACUCAAGACCCGAAGCAACAACAGGCACUUUUUCCUUUGGAACGGGACGGCGAGUAGCGUGACUUUUUUGCUUCCAGCCCGAAUUUCGCCACGAACAGCCCAUCGACAUGGCACCGAAAAAGAUUUGCGUUAUCGGCUCUGGAAACUGGGGAUCCGCUAUCGCGAUGAUCGUCGGCACAAACGCGAUGAAGGCCCUCAACACGUUCAACCAGACGGUCAACAUGUACGUCUACGAGGAAAUAGUCGACGGACAGAAGCUGAGCGACAUCAUCAACAACGAACACGAAAACGUCAAGUACCUGCCAGGGAGGAAAUUGCCAGCAAACGUUGUUGCAGUACCCUCACUUGAAAAUGCUGCAAUGGAUGCUGACAUUCUCAUCUUUGUGAUUCCACAUCAAUAUGUUAAAACAAUAUGCACGUGUUUGAGUGGACUAGUCAAGCCGACAACAAUCGCCAUCUCCCUGAUAAAGGGAUUUGAAAAGACUGAAUCGGGCAGUAUCGAGCUCAUUUCACACUUAAUACACGAUAUGCUCAAAAUAGAAGUGUGUGUACUGAUGGGGGCAAACCUAGCAAAUGAAGUCGCAGACGGGCAGUUCUGCGAGACAACCAUUGGCUGCAAGAACAGAAAAUACAAUGGAAUGUUAAAAGAACUUUUCGAAACACCAUUCUUCAGAGUUAGCAUUGUCGAUGAUGCUGAGACAGUUGAAAUUUGCGGUGCCUUGAAAAACAUCGUUGCUUGCGCUGCUGGGUUUUGCGAUGGAUUGCUACUAGGAGACAAUACAAAGGCUGCAAUCAUUAGACUGGGUCUUAUGGAAAUGAUCAGCUUUGUCAACUUGUUCCACUCGACCUCGCGCCUUUCAACGUUCUUUGAAAGCUGUGGUAUUGCUGAUCUUGUCACCACUUGUUACGGUGGGCGUAACAGGAGGAUUGCCGAGGCUUUUGUCAAAUCAGCGAAACCCCUGGCGGUUUUGGAACGAGACAUGCUGAAUGGGCAAAAGUUGCAAGGGCCAAUCACUGCAGAAGAGGUCAACGUGUUCCUCAAAUAUAAAAAUGCUGAGGAAAGGUUCCCACUUUUCACAACCGUUCACAAGAUCUGCAUAGGUACCAUCAAGGCAGAAAAACUUGUUGACUCCCUUAGAGACCACCCUGUUCACCAGCUUGGCUUGAAAAGCAAUUUGUAAGCCUGGAUUUGACCUCCAACUUGCAAACACCAAAGAGGUAGAGCGUGCGAGUUAUUAACAAGCUGAAAAUGAAGUUGUACCGUUCCUGAAUCAUAGGAACCAAAAGGAAAGUGCCAUCAAAACAAGAAGAAAAUAUAAUAAAAAUUGUAAGACUAAGAAAAAUGUUUUAUCAUAUUGUUUUCAAUUAGAUGUUAGUACUUUAGUUAGACCUGAUCUAAGUCUAUCUUGCUUCUUCAAUAUGACUUUUACAGAAAAGUUUAUCACUUAUACAAUAACAAAUGUGUAUAUUACAUGUACUGAGAAAAUCUGCUAUAUUAGCAUUCUGAUUUUUA